GGUUGAUCCUGCCAGUAGUUAUAUGCUUGUCUCAAAGACUAAGCCAUGCAUGUCCAAGUAUAAACCAAUUAUACGGUGAAACUGCGAAUGGCUCAUUAUAUCAGUUAUUGUUUAUUUGAUGAUACCCUACCACUUGGAUAACCGUGGUAAUUCUAGAGCUAAUACAUGCACGAAAUCUCGACUCGCUUGCGGGAAGGGAUGUAUUUAUUAGAUAAAAGCCAGCCCGGCGUGCUCUCGGGCGCGUCGGAUCAGCGUGGUGAUUCAUGAUAACUUUGCGGAUCGCACGACUCUA
This 292-nucleotide ribosomal RNA is filed under the name uncultured eukaryote. RNAcentral's name for it is "partial 18S ribosomal RNA". It matches the Rfam family "Eukaryotic small subunit ribosomal RNA", at positions 6 to 281 of the family's 1831-position model. The record is from RNAcentral.